CAUAGGUUAAUGAGGCGAACCGGGGGAACUGAAACAUCUAAGUACCCCGAGGAAAAGAAAUCAACCGAGAUUCCCCCAGUAGCGGCGAGCGAACGGGGAGCAGCCCAGAGCCUGAAUCAGUGUGUGUGUUAGUGGAAGCGUCUGGAAAGGCGCGCGAUACAGGGUGACAGCCCCGUACACAAAAAUGCACAUACUGUGAGCUCGAUGAGUAGGGCGGGACACGUGGUAUCCUGUCUGAAUAUGGGGGGACCAUCCUCCAAGGCUAAAUACUCCUGACUGACCGAUAGU
This 288-nucleotide ribosomal RNA is filed under the name Escherichia coli. RNAcentral describes it as "partial 23S ribosomal RNA". It matches the Rfam family "Bacterial large subunit ribosomal RNA", at positions 165 to 491 of the family's 2925-position model. Lineage: Bacteria; Pseudomonadati; Pseudomonadota; Gammaproteobacteria; Enterobacterales; Enterobacteriaceae. The record is from RNAcentral.